Molecule: long non-coding RNA, 13040 nt
Organism: Equus caballus (horse)
Lineage: Eukaryota; Metazoa; Chordata; Mammalia; Perissodactyla; Equidae
Source: Ensembl
AAUAUAUAUUUAUAUAUGAAGUAUAUAUACUUUUGCUUCUUAUGUUUAUAUGUUAUUAAACAGCUGGCAGUAUUCACUUCUGCGGCCUUAAGAAAGUGUUAAAAUGAUGUGUGUAUGUGGCCAUGAGGGUCAUCACAGAUAUGCUCCACUGAUGUGCUAAAAUGCUUACAUAUAAUAGGUCUUAAUACUCUACCUCCUGGUUCUCUCUGUGAAAUAGCAGUUAGAUAUAUUUGUUUAAAAUGUAUACAUAAUAUGGUAAUAAAGACUACAGGUAGUCAUUCCUUUGCACAGUUCUGACAUGCAUGAAUUUUAGUUACCACAUUUUAUUUUACCAUGUGUAACAUUUUAUAAUUUUACUUACUGUGAGAUAAGAGAAAAUAUAUAUUGGUCUCUGCCACCAAGUUCCUGGCACAGGGCUCCUGAAACCAUUGUAAUUUCCUGAGUGAAAGGAGUGUCUUUCGUUCUAAUGAGGCAACUCUGGGUGGGCACCUGCAUGAGGGCUGGUCACGGGAAAGAAUAAGUCAUAAUUAGAUGCUUGGAAUUUUCAGCCCCUCCCCCUAUUCUCUUGAGAAGGAAGAAGGGCUGAAAAUAGAGUUAAUUAUCGAUCAUUCCUACAUGAUGAAGCCUCCAUAAAAAUCCCAAUAGUAUGGGGUCCAGAGAGCUUCCAGGUCAGUGAACACAUCCACGUACAAGGAGGGUGACACACAUCAACUCCACGGGGACAGAAGCUCCUGUGCUCCAGACCGUCCCAGACCUCACCCUAUGUAUCUCUUCAUCAGAUCUUUCAAUAAACUAGUAGAUGUCAGUGUUUCCCUGAGUUCUUGCAAACUGUUCUAGCAAAUAAUCAAGUCCAUGGGGCAGGAGGUCAUGGGAAAGUCGAUUUGUAGCCAAGUCACACAGAAGUUGUGGAUAAGCUGGGGUCCUACUACUUGCGAUUGACAUCUAAAGUAGGGGCACUCUUGUGGGACUGAGCCCUUAACCUGUGGGAUGUGAUGCUAUCUCCAGGUAAUAGUGUCAGAAUUAAAUAGUAGGAUGACACCCAGCUGGUGUCGCAGAAUUGCUUCAUGUGGGGAAAAAACCCCACAUGUUUGGUGGCCGGAAGUGUCAGCAGUAAAGCGUCCUGUGUGAAAGUAAAGGAGAAGGGCACAGGAGGAGAACUGAAGGUUUCUGCAAUACAGUCACCAAGUGUAUUAGUUUCCUAGUGCUGCUGUAACAAAGUGCCACAAACUGAGUGACUUAAAACAACCGAAAUUUAUUCUCUUAGAGUUUUUCUGGAGGUAGAAGUCUGGUGUCGGCAGAGCCCUCAUUCCUUGCCCCUUAGAGCUUCUGGCAGCCCCAGGUGCUCCUUGGUUAAUAGCCACAUAACUCCAAUCUCUGCCUCCAUCUUCACACGAUGUUCUUCCUACCCAUCUUCACGUUGUCUUCUUACAAGGACAUGAGUCAUGCUGGAUUAAUGGCCCAUCCUAUUCCAGGAUGACCUCAUCUGAACUAAUUACAUCUACAACAACUCUGUUUCCAAAUAAGUUCACAUUCUAAAGGACGAGGGGUUAAGACUUCAAAUUAUUUUUCAGGAUCACCAUUCAACUCACAGCACAACGGUUUCACUAAAUAACACCAGUCCCCCAACAACAUGUUUCACAUUUCAGUUACCAUGGUAUAUUAACUGUGAGUAAUUGCAUAAAGUAAAAACCGUGCUGAUAGCUUUUGUUAAAAACAAGGCAACGGGCCCCAAAUGGAGUUGUUUAUUCUAAGCCCCAGAUCACCAAGCUGAGACUUGACCGAAUUACAGUUUCAGCUCUCCCCGAAAUGGAAUCUUAAACCAGUCAGUCAGGGAUCAGCUGAUAGCACUAGUUAGUAAUCUGCUGAUAGAACCCUGCCAUCUCCCAAAGGAAAGUAACCUUGCUGUAACCAACUCACUUUUUUGCCUAGUAUAACUUCCUUGUUCCUGCUCCCUUCUGCCUAUAAAAGUCUUUCAUUUUGUACCGCUCCUCAGAGCUCCUUUCUGUCUGUUAGAUCGGAUGCUGCCCGAUUCAAAUUGAUUUUUGUUCAAAUAAACUCAAAAUUUUUAAUAUACCUCCGUUUAUCUUUUAACAGUCUUCAGCACAAAAAUCACUAUGUAAAUAACAGACGCACAUCAUCAUCAGUGACCAAUCACGUCACUUCUUCAAAGUCUGUCGGUGACGGAUCACUGCGCAUAUCAUAGGAGUAGCAUUGCAAUAAGCAGCUAACACCCUUAAUGCUACAGAAACCAAGGAAAGAGGUUGGAAUUAUUAAAACUUAAAAGUUUAGAGAAAACUCCAUGUAGAGCUAAAAUCUAGACUUCUGAGGAAUAGGCGCUGAGGGGGCCGCAGUCAGUUGCUGCUGGUGUCUCUGAGGGUAUUGGAGGCAAAUUAAGUUCAUUCUGCUACUGCUGGGAAGUCUGCAAACUAGAUUCAGCUGCUUCUACAAGCAGGCACUGCUGCUGCCAGGGUGAAGAAGCAUUGUUGGGGUGAUGCUCACAGGAACCACAAGGAGACAGGAAGCAGACAGGAAGUGGUCACGUAAUGACUAUCGAUUCAAUUGAAAUAUUGUUGGAAGAGUUUUAUGCAGUUCUUUCCAUGAAAUCAUGGCUCAUACUGGAGCAUCAUUUAGCCAGUGAGAGCUGCAUAGAAAGGACACAAAGGCAUUGGGUUUCCUCCUUACUCUUUCUCUUGGAUCACUCACUCUGGGGAAAGCCAGUUACCAUGUCUUGAGAACACUCAGUUAACCUCAUGGAGAGGUUCCCAUGGCAAGUAACUGAAGCCUCCGACCAAGAGCCAGCAAUGAACUGAGACCUUCUGCCAACAGCCAUGUGAGGGAGCCAUCUUGGAAGUAAAUCCUCCAGCCCUAGUCAAGCCUUCAGAUGACUGUAGCAAUAGCAAAUGUCUUGACUGCAAUCUCAUGAGAGGCUCUGAGCCUGAACCACCCAGCUAAGCUGCUCCUGAAUUCCUGACUCAUGGAAACUGUGAGGGAAUUUCUGAAACCUACAGACCCAGUUGUAAUUGAAUGUGUGUAUGUGAGCUGUACCGGCCCCACAGAGGCCCGCACAGGCCUCCCCACACCAGGGCUGCCUUCCAAGUCACAAGCCCUGGAGUCUGCAGGUACUCCCCUGGUGCCUCUGGAAGAUUCUAAACAUCUCUGGACAUUCAGGGGAGAGGGAAUUUAGGACUCUCCACCCCAAAUUUGCUUUGCCGCUCCCCCACUACCAAGCACGCCCAGACUUAGUCUACAAUUCCUGUGGAGCCUUUGGAGUUCUGGGGAGUCAGGAGAUGUAACUGGUCCUUCAAGGUUCUGAGCCGAACCUGGCCGCAGGAUGUGCACAUCCUCAACAGCUGCGGACGACAGUUCAGACUAUGAGACUCUCAGAGGAGCAACCUAACGGUGGGAGCGAUCAGAUGUCAGGAGGUUCUGGCAUCCCGGGGGGAGGGGAGGCGAGGACAGGAUUAUCAUUCCCCUGUUACCUAAUACUGCUGCGUCUCCUGGUCGAGAAGGGGAGACACUUGGACAAUAAGCAACCAUCAUCUGGGUGUGGCUCCGUUUGGUGCUUGACGACUCACUCGUCUCCCUCUGCUGGCCGAAUGAAGCAACGCGUCACCAUGUCCGAAGGCCUUUAGAGCAUGUCUCAAUUAUACGUGGAAGCACGAAAACCAGGCUGCUUUCCUAAGAAGCGUCCUCAAUACCUUGUUUCUUCUGCAUUUUAUUUGCUUUACCCAUGUGCAUAGUACAGGGCUGUUUGAAAGAGGACCACAGAUGUUUUGCUUCUAUAGUAUUACAAGGGGUUAAUUAGAAAUUAACGAUUUAAAAUUGGCCCCCAAAUCUGAAAGCAGAACCAAAAAGGUGGUUGUUUCUCCUAGGUUAAAAGCCAGAGUUAAAUUGCUCAUUUAAGUGUUUAGUUUCAGUAGAGCAUAAAGCCCUGGAAAAAAGCCAAUUAUAACAGUAGAUCUGAAAAAAGCUAUUUUUAUUCUCAAGAGGGGGAAGGCUGGCCUUGCCUAAGUGAGUCCGUAAUCUGAGAAAGACGGGGGUUUGGGCUAAGAUAAUCUUUGAAAGGUUUGUAAAAAACGUGAAGCCAUUGAUUGAAUUUGUUUUCAUGAGAUUUAAAAAUCUUCAGUAAUUACUGUGGGAAGAAAAAGCGGUGUCUGCUCUGUUGAGGUCAAGUAACCCAGACCGCCUUCUCGUGGUUAGAUCAGCUCUCACUGUGGGGUCUUCACACCUACCACUUCACAUGCUGAAAAUGCUGCUCCCUCUCCCAGCUCCUCCUACUCCUUGGUCAGACCUCCCCUUACCUGUCACCGCCUCAGAGAAGCCUUCCUGAACACUUGGUCGGAAGUAGAUUCUUUACGCUGUGUUAUCUUCUCCAGGGCAUCCUCUUUUCCUGUUGCAGUACCACGAUGACUCACAAUUAUAUAUAUAUGUGUGUUUUCUUGUAUAUUCUCUUUCACCCUCACGAGCUUUCUAAAUCCCCUAAGGGUCAUAGGCUGUCUGAUCAGAACUGUAUAACCAGUUUUUGGAAUAGUACUUGGCAAAAAGUAAACAAGGAAUAAAUAUUUGUUGAACAGAUAAGUUAAAUUCAGAUACUGUAUCUCGAUCCCCAGUUUACUACUUUCUGGAUUCUUCUUUCAUAUCUUGUAGCUUUUUCAAGACUUAGUCUGUGUUCUUUUUCUCUUGUGAACUCUCAGUAACAGCUGAUUUGUUUUAGGAUUCCUCUUCCCAUAAUGCGAGAGCCACUGAGUGUAAUGGAAUCUUCACGGUUCCUAAAAAAAAAGAGAAAUAGACUAAUCCUGUAAUUCUUACAGUCUGUGUUUUCUCAUCUGUUGUACUUCAUUUUAUUCUGAGAUGGGGUCCCCCUGGGCUUUGACUUCUGAGUCUGGAGUUGUCCACAUGGUGCUCCCUCCCCUCCCACCAAAACCUUCCCUCCAACUGGGGAAAGGUGUACGAUUCCCUCUUCAGAAAAGUCUCUUCCUCCUGUCCAGAGACAGACUCCUCCAAGCAGAGGUUUAAAUUCCCUGGAAUUUCAAGUAGGCGAUUUGCAUUUCUGAGAACCUUUAGACUAGAUGUCAGUCAUUUCUUUGGACUUCAAGCCCAACACAAGAGUAAUCCCUCCGGGGCAUUUCUUUACCUAGGCAAAAUAGCUGUUAUUACUCUGUCCCGAGAGUUGUGCUAGGGUUUGGAGGACUUUUGUGACAUGUGGCUUUAUUCUGUAUUCAUUGAAAGAUUUUGAUUGAUGGUUAUGUAACUGUUAGAAUUGCCCUAGCUGCCUACAAAAUGCUGUGACUUUCUCUCCUUUUAACUGGUAUUGGGUAAUAGUUAAGAGACUAAACAUGAAGGUCAGAAAAACUCAAAGCUCUAAGGUCUUGGUUUUCUCACCCAUUUUGUUUUUCCUCUACAAAAAGGGGCUGUCACUUUACAAACUUGUAAUAAUCGUUAUAUAGCAUUUAUAGAGCAACUACAUUAUGCUAGGUACUGUUCUAUAUAUAUAAUACUACUGUCAUAUAUUCACAUAUGAAAUAUCUGAUUUUAUAUACAAAUAAAUUUAUGUAUAUUUAAUUCCAGGCCCCCUUUGGGAUAGGUACUAUUGUCCUUGUUUUACUGUGGAGGACAUGGAGGCACAGAGAGGUUAGAUAUUCUGGAGAAAGAUUCAAAUCUGUGUGAACACAUCUGCUAAGUGAUCCACUAUUUUUUUGUGGCUUCUUGUGAUGGAGGGGUGAGCAUGAUUCAAGGUCUCCUUCUCUAGACUGCUGUGUGCUCUGAGAGGCAGAGGCUGGCCUAUAUGAACUGUACCAACAAGCUUCCUUGCUCUCUGGCUUCCUAUUGGAUCUGGCCAGGGGGGAGCAUCCAAAGGACAUCAGAGGGCAGGAAAAGACAUGGAGAGACCGUCUGCCUGUGACCAUCCUGGACAACGCCUGCUCGUCUCUCAGCAUCUCCGCUCAGUCCUGCUUCCUUGGUGAAGUCUUCCACAACUCCCAAGGUGGAGAGUUCGGAGCCUUGAUCCACGCUGAAUCAGUUUGACUUCUGGAGGGACUGGAGACUGAAUAAAGGCAGUCACGUGGGUGCUCUAUGCUGCUGUGACCAAUCUCUAAUAGAAACCAGGGACGCCAAGGCUGAGUUUCUUUCCAGGAACAGGCUGACCACAGGCGGGAAAUACACCUACAAGGUAUCCAUCACAGCUGACGGAAGAAUGGAACAAUAAAAGACCCUGGAUUCUGUCAUGCCUGAAGGCUUACUUUUCCAAACCUCCUCCUUAAUCCCUAUUUUCCCUAUAUAACUACCUCAAGAUUCGGUAAUUGUUGAAGAUGGGUUUUUUGAGACUUUAGUCACCCAUCUUCUGAUUUUGCCCGCUAAUCCAGUUAAAGCUUCCUUUCUUCAUCCCUCACUCGUGGUGAUUUAUUGGCUCAGAUCCCGAUGAGCAGAGCCCAUUGCUCAGUAACACAUAUGACUCCAAUGGGAAAGGAAAACUAAAAGCUUAUUCCUGGUCUCCCCUGGACUCCACCCUGUGGACUUUCUACCUUUGCUCAUUUUAAUCUGUAGCCUUUCACUAUAAUAAACGGUAACCAUGAGUAUAACAUCUUUUCUGCUUUAUAUGAGUCCUUCUAGAGAAUCAUUGAAUCUGAGGGUGGUCUUGAGGACCCCUGUCACAGCUGCUUAGAAAAGGAAUGGACUUUGAGAUUAUUUGCAUGGGUUUAAGACUGCUGUGUGGAUCUUUUUUUGUUUUUUGAGGAAGAUUAGCCCUGAGCUAACAUCUGCUGCCAAUCCUCCUCUUUUUGCUGAGGAAGACUGGCCCUGAGCUAACAUCCGUGCCCAUCUUCCUCUACUUUAUAUGUGGGACACCUACCACAGCAUAGCUUGCCAAGCAGUGCCAUGUCUGCACCCGGGAUCUGAACCGGCAAACCUCGGCCGCGGAAGCAGAACGUACACACUUAACCACUGCGCCAGUACAAUGCCCCAGCUGCUGUGUGGAUCUUGAUCAAGAGAAGACAACCACACCCUCACUUCUGGAGGUAGAUCGUCAUUAGUUUAAGCCAAUCAACAGAUGACAUUCCUCUGGCUACAAUUGGUCCAGGGAAGAAAGAGAGACACUAGGGAUACAUGAGCACAGAUGAAAGGCCAUGUGAGGACACAGCAAGAAGAUGGGGACCAUCUGCAAGCCCAGGAGAGAGGCCUCAGGAGAAACCAGCCCUGUUGACACCUUGAUCUUGGACUUCCAGCCUCCAGAGCUGUGAGGAAUAAAUUUCUGUUGCUUUAGCCCUCCAGUUUGUGGUGUUUUGUUUCGUUAGCCCCAGCAGACUAAUACAUAAGGUAAUACAUUUUCUCACUGCUUAAGAAAUGUUGAGUUGAGAUUUUCUAUUACUUGCAGCCAGAAUCAUUUUGACACAGGAUAUUCGUGAUCUCCUUCCCUGCCCCUUUCUGCAAGUCUUUUUUUUUUUUUAAGAUUGUCACCGGAGCUAACAUCUGUUGCCAGCCUUCUUUUUCUUCUUCUUCGUCUUCUCCUCCCCAAAGCCCCACAGUACAUAGUUGUAUAUUCUAGCUGUAGGUCCCUCUGGCUGUGCUAUGUGAGAUGCCAUCUCAGCAUGGCUUGAUGAGCAAUGCCAUGUCCCCACCCAGAAUCUGAACUGGUGAAACCCUGGGCCACCGAAGCGGAGGGUGCAAACUUAUCCACUUGGCCAUGGGGCUGGCCCCUCUGCAAGACUUCUCUAUGCUGCUUUGUCACUUGUUUUCUGUUUCUCAGGGCACAGAAGCCAGUUGUUUCUAUUGCAUCCUUGCCUUUAGAUGGGGUUUCUAGGAAAAUAAUUUAAAAAGACAUAUUUGGGUCCAUAUGUGCCAAUUCCAAAAUCUCAGAAGAGAAAGCCAGAUUGGUGCAGCUUGGGUCUGGUUAGCACCCUUGAACCAAUCAGCUGAGGCUAAGAGGACAGGAGACAUGGAGUAGUUGAAAGGGAUUAUGGGAGUAAACUCUUAGAGAAAGAGAAUGGGCAUGUUUCUCUUAUAGGAGAUAUGGGGACAAGCAGGAAAUAAUUGGCUUUUUGAAUAUAGAAAUCUUAUUCAUCAUUAUAUUCCUAGUCCCUAGCACAUAUAAUGGAUCUGAGUAAAUCUGACUUAAACUAAGGAAUAAAAGAUGGGCAAUUGCUGGAAUAUAGAAAAAUAUUGAAUCCAUCUUUGUUUAGUGAAAGAGACACAGAUCUAUCUUGGUCUGUGUAGUGGAUGGUGUGGUUUGUAGUCCAGACACCCUCUCCCAGCCCAAGCCUGAAGAACUCAUUCCUCCAGCCGCUGGGAGUACUGGCAGCUGAUGUGUUUCAGCUGAGUCUCUCUCAGAAUUUUCCUUGGCUAAAGAGUGCUUCCUAGUCCAAGGCCAGGCCUCCUUCCGGGAGGCAAUUCAUGUCCAAAAACUGGUGAAUGCGGAGAUAUACAGACCUAGCCUUGUUGUUUCAACUUGGGCAACUCUGGAGAACUCAUCCCGACUCCAGAGCUCCUGAUAGGAUGGCCUGUGGCAUUUGUUUCGUCUGAAUCACAGUUCAGCUUUUCUCAUUGCACAACCUUGUUUCUUUAUUUCCCCACAGGAGUUGAUUCUAAGAGUAAUCCCCGAUAAAGCUCCCGCAGGCAAAUCUCUGCCUCAGAAUUUGGUUCAUGGUGAAUUCAUCCCGCAACAACUGGUGCCUGAGUGUCUGAGAUAGCAGACUCUAAGAGGGGACUUUGGAAAUGGAUCACUCAUGGGCCAAGUAUCAACGGGAGCCCCGUCCAUGUUGGUAGAAAUAGCAAAUAGUCCAUGGCAUGCUGUAGCAGGACAAUGUUUAAAACUUUCACCAAUGGUGAACUUGGAUCGUAUAUCAGCGGAAGGAAUGCACUGAUGGAUUCAAAGUAACACUCAUUUCAGAAUGACAGAGGAAAUAAUAAAUACAAGGACAAUGAAAUUGGUUGGUUAUUUCUGAGGGCCAUGGAAUCUCUGAAGAAACAUAAUGAAAGGGUGAUUAGUUAUCAAUUAAAGGCUAAGUACGAAAGCCAGAGGGCCUCCUUGGUAGCAUAAAAGAGACUCAUCUUCUGCAGCUGUAGGUCCCCAAAAAGCUGAGGGUGACAAGAGUAGCAGAGCUCUAGAGAGAAUUAAAUUCUCAGCCACAGCAAGUCUGCUCUGCUCAAGUCAGGGCUCUGACUGGGGAGGAGCAGGCUCCUGAGAUAGGGGAUGGAGAUGUCUGGCUUGAUGCACUUGACAGUAUUAAAUCCUCAGAUUCCUCUCCAGACGUGGCUCACUCUGUUAAAGGCUAAUUCUCUCCCUUCAGGGAAGUAGACAGUUCUCUCCCUAAAUAAGCAAGUAGACAAUGACUGUUUAUGUCACCCAGGCUCUGUCAUCAGUCACCCCAGUGCUGGGUACUGCGUACAGGAACAGGGUAGACAUGGUAGCAAGGACAGAGCCCACGCCCUGGUCCUACAGAAUGGGUUGCCACAUACCAGGACUGAUCCAGCUGUUGUUGCUGCCAAAUGCUGCUGAGACCAACCCUAGGCCCCUGAUAUGCCACUUGGUGGCAAGUUAACUACAUUGGAUCUAUUUCAGCAAUUCAUCUCGACUGGAACUGACACACAUUCUGGGUACCACUCGUGUCUAUAGGACCUCAUCCAGCAUCAUUAUCUGAGAGCAUACAAAGUGUUUCAUUGCUGACAUGGGAUCCUGGGUGACAUCUCAUUGGACUAGGGGACCCAUGUUACAGCAUAGGAGAUAUAGCAGUUCAUACAUGAUCUUAAGAUCCGCUAGCCCUAUCACAUACUAUUCCACAGAGAGGCUGCUGGUUUGAUAAAGUGAUGGAACAGCUUUGAUUAAAAACAGAUGUAAUAAAACCCAUUGAGGUGCCAGCUUGGAGAGAACUCAGAGAGGAUGUGGGCACCAGUCUCCAGGAUCAGUAUAUAUCUUUUUUUUUUUUUGAGGAAGAUUAGCCCUGAGCUAACUACUGCCAGUCCUCCUCUCUUUUGCUGAGGAAGCCUGGCCCUGAGCUAACAUCCGUGCCCAUCUUCCUUUACUUUAUAUGUGGGACCCCUACCACCGCAUGGCGUGCUAAGCCGUGCCGUGUCCGUACCCGGGAUCCGAACCGACGAACCCGGGGCUGCCGAGAAGCGGAACGUGUGAACUUAACUGCUGCGCCACCAGCCAGGCCCCUCAGUAUAUAUCUUAAAUCAACUAGCAUUGUAUAAUGUUGAGUCUCCAGUAAGCAGAUGUGAUAGAGUCAUUUACAGCUGGACUGGAAAGACUGUCUCUUUGUCUCUGGAGGUGUCUGGUUUUCGACUCUUAGCCAAGAUAAGAGCAGUGGGAUUUAUGAUGUGCUGUCAAAGGCCUGAAACUCCCAAGGCCAAUUUCUUUACUGACAGUCUUCAACUGGCCUAACCGGCUUGACAAGCCUGGCCAAGAGUGCAUGAAAACUCCAUUGGGAACUUCUGCAUUUAGACUUCCCAAAGCUAAGCUUCCUUGCACAGAUAUUUGGUGGUUUGACCCAGAUUCAGAGUGCAAUUGUGUUCGAAUAAGGACCCUGGGAAGUUAUAUAUGCAAUAUCUCUGAGACUUCCAAUGUAUGCUCAAGCUUGCCAUCUCUUACUGCAACGUAUUAUUUGCCUUUAAAUAAAAGCCGUAAGUGAGUCUGCUUAGUCCUUUCAAAUCUCUGAACUUGGGAAAUCUUUGCAGUAAAAUAUAUGGGUCUGGGAAACAAUGGAUGAGUGCAGGAUUGGCUCCACUAACCAUCACUCCCCAGUAACGCACUGGGGAAGCUGUGUUCACUGUCUCUGAAACUCUGCAGAUUUGAGAUCCUGCUUCUCAAAGAGGAAACACUAGGGGACACAGCAAGUGUUUCAUUAAACCUUAAGCUAUAGCUGUCACUCAGUUUCUUCAAACUCAUUGUGCCAAAAGACUUGCAGUCAAGGAAAGGAUUCACCAUCCUGGGAGAAGUAAUUAACUCUCAUCAUCAGGAAAGAAUAUGUUUGGCAACCAUGUGAUCUACUUGGCUUCUUGAUACUCCCUUGCCCAAUUUUUUUUUUUUGAGGAAGAUUAGCCCUGAGCUAACAUCUGCUGCCAAUCCUCCUCUUUUUGCUGAGGAAGACUGGCCCUGAACUAACAUCUGUGACCAUCUUCCUCUACUUUAUAUGUGGAACACCUGCCACAGCAUGGCUUGCCAAGCAGUGCUAUGUCCGCACCCCGGAUCGGAAGCACCAAAGCGGAACGUGUACACUUAACUGCUGUGCCACUGGGCCGGCCCCCCAGUUUUGACUGUGAAUGAACAAGUAAAAUAAGCACAUCUGGAGAAGGGGAUGAUGACCAGGGUCUUAGACCCCACAGGAAUGAGGUUCUGGGUCACCCCACCUAGGUAAACCACGUAGGCCAGAAGGGGUAAAGGGAAUCUAGAAGUGGUAGUAGCGGACAAUGAUGAUGAGUGUUAGUUAUGGUCUUGAGCUAAGCUGCACGGUGGGUGCUGGAGUGCAUUUCACUAACCUUUCUCUCACAAUUCUUUCCCCAACUCCCUGCUUCCAACAGGUCCUUUAAAAUCCUAGAGGAGCUGCUCUUAGAACUUAUUUGAAGCGAGUGGAUCCGAGAAGCCCAGGGAUGGACUGUGGACCACCCAGACCCCCAAAGGCAGGACGGAAGCUCCGAGUCCCCCAGCUGCUGAGAAUGGUGUCAGCCAACAGUUCUCUGCCGAGCCUUUCUCCAGGACCCGGCCUUGGUUGAAGAGUGCCGCCUUGCCGGAGGCCUCCCCCGUCCCAGGCGUAGCUCAUACCCAAUGUCUGGUUGUUGUGGGGAUAUAAAAUCCUGAUCCUCUUGCCCAGUUUGGAGUAACUCUGGAGUGUCAUCCUGUCCCUAGAGUUCCCUUUAGGAUUAGCUGAGGCCUUUGUUGUGACUGUGUCACUGUUCAACUUUUCUCUCUGCUCAGUUUUACUUCUUUUCCACCCCCAGAGGUUUUGUCGUUGAGAGUGCUCCGCACUAAACAUUCUGCACUCAAUCUCUGUCACAGUUUGCUUUUCAGGGAACUCAGCCAUCUGAAGGCAUCUUUCCAAACCCGGCCUAGUCCCCACGGAGCCCGUAAUUGCCCUCUCACUUUUGAUGGAAGACUACAACGGUUCUCAAACAGUAUUUCAAGGAAGCUCUGGGUGGAGGUGCUUCACUGCAAGUGUUUAAUUUCAAUAGCAUUCCUGAAAGACCAUUUUAACCAUGAAAACCACAAAAACCAACAAUAAGCACUAUUGCAACGAUAAAAACUAUUUUAAAACUGUGAACACAGAAAUGUAAAUGUGUUCUAUACUAAAUUUUACACAUCUUUGACAGUGUAUUAACUUGUGGUGCCAGCUCAUAUCAUUUCCGGGCAGACCUCAGAAGAAAGUUUCUCUUUCAUUAUGGCGCAUAUAUUUCAACUCUUAAAAUGUGUUGCCUAAUGAUGGGGACACAUUCUGAGAAACGCGUCGUUAGGUGAUUUUGUUGUGCCAACAUCAUAUAGCUUGCUUACACAAACCUAGAUGGUAUAGCCUACUACACACCUAGGCUGGAUGGUACUAAUCUUACAGGACCACCGUCAUACACACGGUUCGUCGUUGACUGAAAUGCCGUUAUGUGGUGCAUGACUGUAAUUAUUAUUAUUAUUUUUUAAAGAUUUUAUUUUUUCCUUUUUCUCCCCAAAGCCCCCCGGUACAUAGUUGUACAUUUUUAGUUGUGGGUCUUUCUAGUUGUGGCAUGUGGGAUGCCGCCUCAGCAUGUCCUGAUGAGUGGUGCCAUGUCCGCGCCCAGUAUUCGAACCAAAACCCUGGACCACCACAGCGGAGCACACGAACUUAACCACUCGGCCACAGGGCCGGCCUCUAUUUUUGAAUAUAUAAUACAGGUACACAUUAUAGAACUCAAAAAGUACAAAGGAAUAUAUAUAAAAUACAAUAAAAAUUCCCUUCCACUCCUGUCUUCUGGUUUCCCAGUUCCCUUGCCAGGGGAAACCAUAGCUCUUAAUAUUCUAUGUAUUACUCUACACACACACACACACACACACACACACACACUUUUCUCCCCUGUAUACACUGUUG